UACGGAGGGCCUUAGCGUUACUCGGAAUCACUGGGCGUAAAGAGCGUGUAGGCGGAUAGAUAAGUCAGGAGUGAAAUCCUAUGGCUCAACCAUAGAACUGCUCUUGAAACUGUCUAUCUAGAAUAUGGGAGAGGUAGAUGGAAUUUCUGGUGUAGGGGUAAAAUCCGUAGAGAUCAGAAGGAAUACCGAUUGCGAAGGCGAUCUACUGGAACAUUAUUGACGCUGAGACGCGAAAGCGUGGGGAGCAAACAGGAUUAGAUACCCUGGUAGUCCACGCCCUAAACGAUGUACACUAGUUGUUGUGAGGCUCGACCUUGCAGUAAUGCAGUUAACACAUUAAGUGUACCGCCUGGGGAGUACGGUCGCAAGAUUAAAACUCAAAGGAAUAGACGGGGACCCGCACAAGCGGUGGAGCAUGUGGUUUAAUUCGACGAUACACGAAGAACCUUACCUGGUCUUGACAUACUAAGAAGCUUUAAGAGAUUAGAGUGUGCUAGCUUGCUAGAACUUAGAUACAGGUGCUGCACGGCUGUCGUCAGCUCGUGUCGUGAGAUGUUGGGUUAAGUCCCGCAACGAGCGCAACCCUCGUCGUUAGUUGCUAACAGUUCGGCUGAGAACUCUAACGAGACUGCCUACGCAAGUAGGAGGAAGGUGAGGACGACGUCAAGUCAUCAUGGCCCUUACGACCAGGGCUACACACGUGCUACAAUGGGGUAUACAAAGAGCAGCAAUACAGUGAUGUGGAGCAAAUCUCAAAAAUGCCUCCCAGUUCGGAUUGUAGUCUGCAACUCGACUACAUGAAGUUGGAAUCGCUAGUAAUCGUAGAUCAGCUAUGCUACGGUGAAUACGUUCCCGGGUCU
This 860-nucleotide ribosomal RNA is filed under the name uncultured bacterium. RNAcentral's name for it is "SSU rRNA". It matches the Rfam family "Bacterial small subunit ribosomal RNA", at positions 524 to 1381 of the family's 1533-position model. The record is from RNAcentral.